This 774-nucleotide ribosomal RNA is filed under the name uncultured Neocallimastigales. Its description in RNAcentral is "partial large subunit ribosomal RNA". It matches the Rfam family "Eukaryotic large subunit ribosomal RNA", at positions 24 to 616 of the family's 3401-position model. The record is from RNAcentral. Lineage: Eukaryota; Fungi; Neocallimastigomycota; Neocallimastigomycetes; Neocallimastigales.
UUAUGUGAUCGUCUCUCGCAUAUCAAUAAGCGGAGGAAAAGAAGCUAACAAGGAUUCCCCUAGUAACGGCGAGUGAAGCGGGAAGAGCUCAAAUUUGAAAUCUUAAAGGGUUUCCCUUACGAAUUGUAGUUUAAAGAAGUGUUUUCUGUUGAGGUUUUGGUAAAAGUUCUUUGGAAUAGGACAUCAUAGAGGGUGAGAAUCCCGUAUUUGACCUUUACUUUCAACUUUGUGAUACACUUUCAAAGAGUCGGAUUGUUUGGGAAUGCAGUCCAAAAUGGGUGGUAAAUUUCAUCUAAAGCUAAAUAUUGGCGAGAGACCGAUAGCGAACAAGUACCGUGAGGGAAAGAUGAAAAGAACUUUGAAAAGAGAGUUAAACAGUACGUGAAAUUGUCAAAAGGGAAGCGUUUGACACCAGUGUUGUUUUUCUGAAAAUCAAUUAAAGAACUGUUUAUGCUAAGCUGUUUAGACUUUAUCAGCUAUCUGUUUAGUUUUGAGCUUUUCUUUAAUGCACUUUUCAGUUAACAAGUCAACAUCAAUUUCUUUUGCUGUAAAAAAGCUUGAGGAAGGUGGCUUGAGAUUCGUCUUAAGUGUUUAUAGCCUCUUGCCUAUGCAGUCGGAGAGAUUGAGGUCUGCAGCGUAGAUCCUUCGGGGCUAAAUGCAUUUGUGCUAAGUUAUAGCAUUUUAUAGACAACUUGUUGACUAUGAUUUGUCUUGUAGCUUACUCGCUUAUGUUAUUUUACCUACGCUUAGGAUGUUGAGCGCAUGUCUCUCUCU